Molecule: non-coding RNA, 236 nt
Organism: Pelobates cultripes (western spadefoot toad)
Lineage: Eukaryota; Metazoa; Chordata; Amphibia; Anura; Pelobatidae
Source: the annotation of a GenBank genome assembly
GCUGGAUGAUGUGUGUGUGUGUGUGCUGGAUGAUGUGUGUGUGUGUGUGCUGGAUGAUGUGUGUGUGAGUGCUGGAUGAUGUGUGUGUGUGUGCUGGAUGAUGUGUGUGAGAGUGCUGGAUGAUGUGUGUGAGAGUGCUGGAUGAUGGGUGUGUGAGUGCUGGAUGAUGGGUGUGUGAGUGCUGGAUGAUGGGUGUGUGUGUGCUGGAUGAUGGGUGUGUGAGUGCUGGAUGAUGG